RNAcentral lists this long non-coding RNA (1215 nucleotides) under Brassica napus (rape). RNAcentral's name for it is "long non-coding RNA (BNAP_LNC015535)". The record is from RNAcentral. Lineage: Eukaryota; Viridiplantae; Streptophyta; Magnoliopsida; Brassicales; Brassicaceae.
UUCGUGAUAAGAAUUCAAACUAUUUAACAAAAAAAAAUUAUUUGUUUAUAUGAUGAGUUAGACAUGAGCACUUAGGUUUCUGUUCGGGUAUAUAACGGUUUUUUGGGCAUCAGAUUUUUUGGGUAUCAGUUUUUCGUGUAUCCAUUUUUUGAAUUUUGAAAUUACGCUACAUUUGGGUAUUAUAAUUUUUUGGACGGGGUUCGAGUUGGAUCCUCCCAGAUCCGGAUGGAUUCAGUUCUGAUGGGUGGAAGCCUAAAAAAAUUAUUAAAAAUGGUAAAAACCAUCAUCCGAGCGGACACGCGGAUCAAACUCUAGUGUUUUAUUAAAAGAACAAAUAAAAGUUAUUCAAACCCAAAACUCGUAUAUCUUUACCAAUUAUCUGUUUUAAGACAUGAAUUUUUUUUUCUAAAAAUUAUUUUAUUCAAUAUUGUCCUUUUUUUUACACUGGAUAGUAUUAUUAAGCCUUCUAGGAAAAAAAAAUCUAAACAAUGAAAACUACCAAAACAAAAGUAGAAAAUGAAUACACCAGUAGAGAUACAAAAUAAACUAACACACAUCUAUUUUGCGUAUGGAUGAUUAAAGAUUUUUCAUAUAAACUCCAUAUUUGCUUCUGAAAUAGUUGAAUUUCAAGGGAUAUAAUAUUCAUAUUAAUCCAAAAACACCACGCUUGAGACUGAAUUGAGAACAAUUCCCAUUCUCUUUUUAAUACUUCAGUAGGAGUCAUCGAGAUAAGAGAGCUAUUUAUAUUUCUCUAUUGAUAAGAACAGAGUCAAGAGAUUACCGUUCCAUAGAAUUUCAUGCUGCCUUUCGAAAUAACCAUAGUUUGCAGCAAGAACACAAUCACCAUCAAAUGAUGAACCAUCAAUGAGUGAAGACGGUAACCAUAAUGAUUGGAUUGUGAGAGGAGAUAGAGAGAAGUGAUAUGGGACAGUGAAGCUUAAAUAAAAAGCACAAGGGAACAAACUAUUUUACGUAUUAACCAUAAUAAUUCCAUAGAUUUGAAUGAAAUUUCUCCAUUCGUGAUAAGAAUUCAAACUAUUUAACAAAAAAAAAUUAUUUGUUUAUAGGAUCAGUUAGACAUGAGCACUUAGGUUUCCGUUCGGGUACAUAACGGUUUUUUGGGUAUCAGUUUUUUGGGUAUCGGUUUUUUGAUUUUUGAAAUUACGCUACAUUUGGGUAUUAUAAAUUUUUGGGCGGGGUUCGAGUUGGAUCCUC